Molecule: long non-coding RNA, 1042 nt
Filed under: Bos indicus x Bos taurus (hybrid cattle)
Lineage: Eukaryota; Metazoa; Chordata; Mammalia; Artiodactyla; Bovidae
Description: lncRNA (ENSBIXG00005011074.1)
Source: RNAcentral
GUUUGAUAGCCACAGAUACGGGGUAAAUGUAUUGAAAAUUUGCUGCACCGGUUAUGGGAAAAACGAACGCGCUCUUUUUUCAGCUCUAGCAGCUGCAGCUUCUCAGUAGAAUCAGGAGAGGGCGCCCACGGACCUGUCUUUGCCUCGCUCCUAGCAAAGCCUCGCGACCGGGUAAGCCCUGGAACAGUGACUUCUUUCUAAUGCAGAAGUGAAUGACAAAUAUACGAAAAAAAGACUUCAAAAGACUGUGGUAUCAAAGUGGCAGUUAAAGAGAAGGCAGCGCUCAGAGGCGCAGCUGCAGAGGGCAGCGGCGGCGGCUACAUCAGCAUCCGAAAAUUCCGGAAGCAUCUCGAGUUGAAGCUUCCCCCCGCGCCACCCCCUGCAGCAUUUCUUCGAACCCUUUUCUUUGAUACACGUCACUGCAUCACACCUCUGGGUUGGACACUUCCUGUGACUGCUGGCCAUUUGGAAUGUCCUGAGGAAGGCGGGAUUCACCAGAUUUCUUCUGUACAUGGGGACAGCUCCUAUGGUGGAAAAUGGCAAUUUACAUGGGAUAAGACUUCUACCUGACCUUACCUGUGUGUCCUCUGCAAGCUUAUCCAGUAAUUGCAAAAAUCAAUGUGUCACACGUCACUUCCCUGGAAAGCAGCGCUGAGGAUCUAUCAGUCACCAGCAACUGCAACAGACGUCAUUCAUGUCACCUGCACCUUUCUCCUUUGUCCUCUCCAGCUCUCUCAGCCUAAAGGAGAGAAGCCUGGGUGAGUGUCUCCUCACUGGGCCCUGCUUAUCUGACAGCAAUCAAUGGAUAUUUAGCAAACAUUCAUAAUGAACACCUGACCCUGUGUUGGGUGUUAGCUCCCAUCUUGCAAGCCUUUGCUGUAGUUUAUUCCCUCUUCCUGGAAGGUUCUCCUCAGCAAUCUUCAUCUGACUAGUUUCAUCUUGUCAUGCAAAAUCUUAACUAAGGUUUUCAACAUCACCACCGCAAAAACAUCUUCUUUCUGGACAUGGGGACACAGCAGAAGGUGAGGAUGGGAUGAGCGGA